GCCCGCGGCCUAUCAGGUAGUUGGUGAGGUAACGGCUCACCAAGCCGACGACGGGUAGGGGGCGUGAGAGCGUGGCCCCCCACACGGGAACUGAGACACGGUCCCGACGCCUACGGGCGGCAGCAGUGAGGAAUCUUGCCCAAUGGGGGAAACCCUGAGGCAGCGACACCGCGUGCGGGAUGAAGGCCUUCGGGUCGUAAACCGCUUUUCUGGGGGACGAGUAAGGACGGUACUCCAGGAAUAAGUCCCGGCUAACUACGUGCCAGCAGCCGCGGUAAAACGUAGGGGGCGAGCGUUAUCCGGAAUCACUGGGCGUAAAGGGCGUCUAGGCGGCAGCCUAAGUCCCGUGUGAAAGCUCCCGGCUCAACUGGGAGAGGGCAUGGGAGACUGGGCAGCUAGAGACUCGGAGGGGGGUGUGGAAUUCCCGGUGGAGUGGUGGAAUGCGUUGAGAUCGGGAGGAACACCAGUAGCGAAGGCGGCACCCUGGCCGAGAUCUGACGCUGAAGCGCGAGAGCGUGGGGAGCGAACGGGAUUAGAUACCCCGGUAGUCCACGCCGUAAACGAUGACAACUAGGUGUUGGGUGUCCAAGGAUGCUCAGUACCGCAGCAAACGCGAUAAG
RNAcentral lists this ribosomal RNA (620 nucleotides) under uncultured bacterium. RNAcentral's name for it is "bacterial SSU rRNA". It matches the Rfam family "Bacterial small subunit ribosomal RNA", at positions 229 to 864 of the family's 1533-position model. The record is from RNAcentral.